UUGCUUCGGCAGCACAUAUACUAGAAUUGGAAUGAUACAAAGAUUAGCACGUCUCUGCACAAGCAUGACACACAAAUUCAUGAAGUGUUCCAUAUUAAA
RNAcentral lists this small nuclear RNA (99 nucleotides) under Nannospalax galili (Upper Galilee mountains blind mole rat). Lineage: Eukaryota; Metazoa; Chordata; Mammalia; Rodentia; Spalacidae. The record is from RNAcentral.